ACCUCUAAGAUUGUCAAUCGAUAAGUCUACUACCUCUAAUAUUGAAGAAGACCAUGUUGGCUUCUGGCAUAUUUUUGGCGGCAAGGCAUCUCGUCGCCGGAUCUUUUCCUUGGAUGUUGUUUUAUUAGAUAUCUUUGGGCAGCCAGUUAACAAGGAACUAGAGGUCGUUGCAUCGCUCUUGUAUGCUUUUAAUCGGUUACCCGUUAAGAAGAUAAAUGGUGAAAAACCACCUCUUCUAGUUAGCUGUGAUGGUAUUGAAUUUGCCUCUUCUGACCGACCUAGUAAACUAUCAAAGGGGCAGGCAUCCUUUAAACUGAAGAUCUCCAAGGUGGUAAUAUUAGAUUUAGUUUGUGCAAUAUUUUAUUCAACAAGUAUGUUUCUCGGUAAAAAUUUCUUCGAGGAACUUAUUGCAUGAGAAACUAGUCUGUAGUUUUUCUUUCUUCUGGAAGUCUUCUAUUGCGGAAAAUAAUGUCUUCUGCUGAUGGUAACCAACCCCGUAUAAUAUAACUGCAGCUAAACUACUUCUUAUAGCAGAGGUUACAAUAUUUUGUGUAGGUAGGUUGGUUGAGUUGAAGCCGGGUAUAAAUUCAUAAUGUCUCCACUGAUACUUAAGCAAAUAAUUAAAAUGUUCAUUAAUUCCAAUCUCAAAUAAACACAUCUGAUAAGGUUCACAAGCUUAUCCAAAAGUUGGCUCAUACGCAUGAUGUAUAUUGGCUGAUUGGAAAAUCAAGCUCUUAACUGGUACCUAAAGAAAUUCAUGGCUUGAGCUUGAAUUAAACUUUAGCAAACCAAGCUUGAUCAAAAUUACUAGAUUGGCUAUUACAGCCUCUGGCAGAAUCAAUAAUGACGGCAGGGAACUAUAUAAAAAAGGCAAUGUGGAACUCUACAUUGCAUAGAAGAGUUUAUAAAAAAGGAAGAAGCAGAACUCUCACUUCAAGAUCCGAGAGGCCUGCAAGAGCCUGGAACAUUUAUACUUAGGUUUCCUACUUCAAGGAGUUGGCCCCACCCAGACGCUGGUAGCUUAGUUGUGACACAUGUUGGAAGUGAUUACACUAUCCAUCACCGGCUGCUUUCUCUCGAUAAUGUAUAUAGUUCCGAAGCACAGGAAAUGAAUGUCGAAGUAAAACCUCUGCAUGAUGUGCUAUUGGAAGAACCCGAGCUCUCUCGACUAGGAAGGUAGAAAACAUCUCCACUUCAAUUUCCUUCUUUGUAAAUCAGACAUGUCAUGUUAAUUUUUCGUUUUUAACCCGUAAAAAUGCAGGGUAGUGAGACGCAAUUGACCAUUGCUCGGAUGUAGCAUUGUGUUUACUUGUUUGGUUCAGGAUGACCAUUGCCAUUACCGCACUGCUAGUUUAGGUUUGCUCAAGAGUCAAGCCCCUUUUCCUUUAUAAAAAAUAUAUGUAAUAUUAGAAGCCGAGGCAGUGUCGUAUCGUAUCGAUACUGUAAACAAGCAUUGCACUGAUGAUGACAUUCAUGUACCAUACAUGCUGACAAGAAAUCAAUUUUGAAAAGUUUUUUGUUGU
This is a long non-coding RNA of Hibiscus syriacus, 1523 nucleotides long. RefSeq lists it as uncharacterized. Lineage: Eukaryota; Viridiplantae; Streptophyta; Magnoliopsida; Malvales; Malvaceae. The record is from RefSeq and is a predicted model, not a curated record. The transcript is spliced from 4 exons.